Molecule: long non-coding RNA, 297 nt
Organism: Halichondria panicea
Lineage: Eukaryota; Metazoa; Porifera; Demospongiae; Suberitida; Halichondriidae
Exons: 2
Source: RefSeq, a predicted model, not a curated record
AAAUCGCCCCAAAAGUCAUAAAAAGCACUGUUUUUGACAAGAUGGGCCGCUCUAGCAAAGAAGAGGCUAGCCUAACUCCUUUUGUUUCCUGCUUCCUGCACCAAUCUAUUACACAUGGCAGGAACUAAAUAUAGCCACAAAGCCGCCAUGUGGCUUUGCUUAGAAACUUCAACACUAACAAAUUUAUACAAAUUUACAUGCCACAGCAAACUGAACUGACAAAUUGUUGCAAAAGUAUGAGAUGAAUUUGAACAUGUUCAGUGCUAUCUUAUAGGAUUGAUGAACAUCUAUACGUAA